Molecule: ribosomal RNA, 492 nt
Filed under: uncultured bacterium
Lineage: Bacteria
Description: partial 16S ribosomal RNA
Rfam family: Bacterial small subunit ribosomal RNA
Source: RNAcentral
AGUGAACGCUGGCGGUAGGCCUAACACAUGCAAGUCGAACGGCAGCACAGUAAGAGCUUGCUCUUACGGGUGGCGAGUGGCGGACGGGUGAGGAAUACAUCGGAAUCUACUUUUUCGUGGGGGAUAACGUAGGGAAACUUACGCUAAUACCGCAUACGACCUACGGGUGAAAGCAGGGGAUCUUCGGACCUUGCGCGAUUGAAUGAGCCGAUGUCGGAUUAGCUAGUUGGCGGGGUAAAGGCCCACCAAGGCGACGAUCCGUAGCUGGUCUGAGAGGAUGAUCAGCCACAUUGGAACUGAGACACGGUCCAGACUCCUACGGGAGGCAGCAGUGGGGAAUAUUGGACAAAGGGCGCAAGCCUGAUCCAGCCAUACCGCGUGGGUGAAGAAGGCCUUCGGGUUGUAAAGCCCUUUUGUUGGGAAAGAAAAGCAGCAGGUUAAUACCCCGCUGUUCUGACGGUACCCAAAGAAUAAGCACCGGCUAACUUCGUG